Molecule: non-coding RNA, 171 nt
Organism: Notechis scutatus (mainland tiger snake)
Lineage: Eukaryota; Metazoa; Chordata; Lepidosauria; Squamata; Elapidae
Source: RefSeq, a predicted model, not a curated record
GAACCCCACAAGAAAGAAAAGCCAUUAGAAACAGCCAAAUUACCAAGGAAGGAUAUCCAUGUAAAAGAAUCUGGUAAGAUCUGGAUCAAAAGAGAUCUAGCAAUUUUCACUUCCUAUCAGUUAAUACAAAAUUAUUGUGAUGAGUUGCCUUGAAAAAUAUGAGAAAAAAAA